GAUGAACGCUGGCGGCGUGCCUAAUACAUGCAAGUCGAGCGAACGGACGAGAAGCUUGCUUCUCUGAUGUUAGCGGCGGACGGGUGAGUAACACGUGGAUAACCUACCUAUAAGACUGGGAUAACUUCGGGAAACCGGAGCUAAUACCGGAUAAUAUUUUGAACCGCAUGGUUCAAAAGUGAAAGAGGGUCUUGCUGUCACUUAUAGAUGGAUCCGCGCUGGAUUAGCUAGUUGGUAAGGUAACGGCCUACCAAGGCAACGAUGCAUAGCCGACCUGAGAGGGUGAUCGGCCACACUGGAACUGAGACACGGUCCAGACUCCUACGGGAGGCAGCAGUAGGGAAUCUUCCGCAAUGGGCGAAAGCCUGACGGAGCAACGCCGCGUGAGUGAUGAAGGUCUUCGGAUCGUAAAACUCUGUUAUUGGGGAAGAACAUAUGUGUAAGUAACUGUGCACAUCUUGACGGUACCUAAUCAAAAAGCCACGGCUAACUACGUG
This 497-nucleotide ribosomal RNA is filed under the name uncultured bacterium. RNAcentral's name for it is "partial 16S ribosomal RNA". It matches the Rfam family "Bacterial small subunit ribosomal RNA", at positions 28 to 507 of the family's 1533-position model. The record is from RNAcentral.